AUUGAACGCUGGCGGCAGGCCUAACACAUGCAAGUCGAGCGGUAGCACAGGGAGCUUGCUCCUGGGUGACGAGCGGCGGACGGGUGAGUAAUGUCUGGGAAACUGCCUGAUGGAGGGGGAUAACUACUGGAAACGGUAGCUAAUACCGCAUAACGUCGCAAGACCAAAGAGGGGGACCUUCGGGCCUCUUGCCAUCAGAUGUGCCCAGAUGGGAUUAGCUAGUAGGUGGGGUAACGGCUCACCUAGGCGACGAUCCCUAGCUGGUCUGAGAGGAUGGGCAGCCACACUGGAACUGAGACACGGUCCAGACUCCUACGGGAGGCAGCAGUGGGGAAUAUUGCACAAUGGGCGCAAGCCUGAUGCAGCCAUGCCGCGUGUAUGAAGAAGGCCUUCGGGUUGUAAAGUACUUUCAGCGGGGAGGAAGGUGUUGAGGUUAAUAACCUCAGCAAUUGACGUUACCCGCAGAAGAAGCACCGGCUAACUCCGUGCCAGCCGCCGUAAGAC
RNAcentral lists this ribosomal RNA (504 nucleotides) under uncultured bacterium. RNAcentral's name for it is "partial 16S ribosomal RNA". It matches the Rfam family "Bacterial small subunit ribosomal RNA", at positions 30 to 526 of the family's 1533-position model. The record is from RNAcentral.